GACAAUAUCAAAUACAUGUAUAGGUCUAAAAUUAUAAUCCAAAGGAUAAAAACAUAAACAUAUUGUAAUAAUUUUAAUGUUAUAGUCCCAAUAAUAAUAAACACAAAUCUAAACAUUUAUAACUUGAAGAAGUAAUUGAAGUGUUCUUUUUGCUCUUGUUGAUAUCCAACUCAAAAAAUCUCCACACAUUUGACAACUUCCUUCGUUUCGCUUUUGUUUUCUCAGUUUGAAAUCUGGUGAGAUAUUUUCCAGCAAAUCCAAGUCAAUCAAAUCAUCAUUUUUGCCUUCAGGCUUCAACGGAUGGGUCACUACUUGCUACCUCACUCAUUUGAAAUUUUUAAAAAAUCCAAGUUCAUUUUAGCACGCGGUAUAAAUUAUAAAAUCCUAAACAAACAUAUUGUAGUUAGGACAGUGAAUUAGACAAAAGGAGCAUGCAUAUGACAGUGAAAAAAACAUUUAUAAGAGUAGAGUGAACCUCGUAGUUCCAUCAAAUAGAGGAGGUGGUUUGGAAGUGGCGUCCAAGGAUGGGGGGAGAUUCUCUUUCAAGCUCCUGUACAACCUAGACAAAUAAAAAAGUUAACAAUCGCAUAAAUUUUGACAGGAACGCCCAAAUUAGGGAAGUCCCAUAGAAAACCCCAUUGAGAUGAUGGAAAUCCAUAUAGGGAGUUGCUCAAGUGGUAAAGGCCUUGGGCUUGAGGGUAUGCUCUCCUCGGGUCUAAGGUUUGAAUCCUCUUGGGUGCAAACAAUUUGUAGGGGCCAUCAGACUAGGAGAACUUUCAUUUGAAUUACCCGAUGUGUACUUGCGGGAAACUCCUUACUGAGGGCCUGUGCAACCCUAGGCUUAGUCGAGAUUUUGUUCUCGGACACCCAGUGCCAAUUAAA
Molecule: long non-coding RNA, 882 nt
Organism: Juglans microcarpa x Juglans regia
Lineage: Eukaryota; Viridiplantae; Streptophyta; Magnoliopsida; Fagales; Juglandaceae
Exons: 2
Source: RefSeq, a predicted model, not a curated record